CCUACGGAAGGCUGCAGUGGGGAAUAUUGCACAAUGGGCGAAAGCCUGAUGCAGCGACGCCGCGUGAGCGAUGAAGGCUUUCGGUACGUAAAGCUCUGUCCUCAAGGAAGAUAGUGACGGUACUUGAGGAGUAAGCCCCGGCUAACUACGUGCCAGCAGCCGCGGUAAUACGUAGGGGGCUAGCGUUAUCCGGAUUUACUGGGCGAAAAGGGUGCGUAGGCGGUUUCUUAAGUCGGAGGUGAAAGCCUACGGCUCAACCGUAGUAAGCCUUUGAAACUGGGGAACUUGAGUGCAGGAGAGGAGAGUGGAAUUCCUAGUGUAGCGGUGAAAUGCGUAGAUAUUAGGAGGAACACCAGUGGCGAAGGCGGCUCACUGGACUGUAACUGACGUUGAGGCACGAAAGCGUGGGGAGUAAACAGGAUUAGAUACCCUAGUAGUC
RNAcentral lists this ribosomal RNA (439 nucleotides) under uncultured bacterium. RNAcentral describes it as "partial 16S ribosomal RNA". It matches the Rfam family "Bacterial small subunit ribosomal RNA", at positions 338 to 795 of the family's 1533-position model. The record is from RNAcentral.